AUUUCUAGAGAUAGAAAGUUACUUCGGUACAUCGGUGACAGGUGGUGCAUGGUUGUCGUCAGCUCGUGUCGUGAGAUGUGGGUUAAGUCCCGCAACGAGCGCAACCCCUAUUGUUAGUUGCCAUCAUUCAGUUGGGCACUCUAGCGAGACUGCCGGUAAUAAACCGGAGGAAGUGGGGAUGACGUCAAAUCAUCAUGCCCCUUAUGACCUGGGCUACACACGUGCUACAAUGGUUGGUACAACGAGUUGCGAGUCGGUGACGGCGAGCUAAUCUCUUAAAGCCAAUCUCAGUUCGGAUUGUAGGCUGCAACUCGCCUACAUGAAGUCGGAAUCGCUAGUAAUCGCGGAUCAGCACGCCGCGGUGAAUACGUUCCCGGGCCUU
This 382-nucleotide ribosomal RNA is filed under the name uncultured Streptococcus sp. RNAcentral's name for it is "bacterial SSU rRNA". It matches the Rfam family "Bacterial small subunit ribosomal RNA", at positions 996 to 1382 of the family's 1533-position model. The record is from RNAcentral. Lineage: Bacteria; Bacillati; Bacillota; Bacilli; Lactobacillales; Streptococcaceae.